UGGGGAAUAUUGCACAAUGGGCGCAAGCCUGAUGCAGCCAUGCCGCGUGUGUGAAGAAGGCCUUCGGGUUGUAAAGCACUUUCAGCGGGGAGGAAGGCGGUGAGGUUAAUAACCUCACCGAUUGACGUUACCCGCAGAAGAAGCACCGGCUAACUCCGUGCCAGCAGCCGCGGUAAUACGGAGGGUGCAAGCGUUAAUCGGAAUUACUGGGCGUAAAGCGCACGCAGGCGGUCUGUCAAGUCGGAUGUGAAAUCCCCGGGCUCAACCUGGGAACUGCAUUCGAAACUGGGAGGCUAGAGUCUUGUAGAGGGGGGUAGAAUUCCAGGUGUAGCGAUGAAAUGCGUAGAGAUCUGGAGGAAUACCGGUGGCGAAGGCGGCCCCCUGGACAAAGAAUGACGCUCAGGUGCGAAAGCGUGGGGAGCAAACAGG
RNAcentral lists this ribosomal RNA (429 nucleotides) under Chloroflexota bacterium. Its description in RNAcentral is "Chloroflexi bacterium partial 16S ribosomal RNA". It matches the Rfam family "Bacterial small subunit ribosomal RNA", at positions 355 to 776 of the family's 1533-position model. Lineage: Bacteria; Bacillati; Chloroflexota. The record is from RNAcentral.